GACGAACGCUGGCGGCGUGCUUAACACAUGCAAGUCGAACGGUAAGGCCUUCGGGUACACGAGUGGCGAACGGGUGAGUAACACGUGGGUGAUCUGCCCUGCACUUUGGGAUAAGCCUGGGAAACUGGGUCUAAUACCGGAUAGGACUACGCACUGCAUGGUGUGUGGUGGAAAGCUUUUGCGGUGUGGGAUGGGCCCGCGGCCUAUCAGCUUGUUGGUGGGGUGAUGGCCUACCAAGGCGACGACGGGUAGCCGGCCUGAGAGGGUGUCCGGCCACACUGGGACUGAGAUACGGCCCAGACUCCUACGGGAGGCAGCAGUGGGGAAUAUUGCACAAUGGGCGCAAGCCUGAUGCAGCGACGCCGCGUGGGGGAUGACGGCCUUCGGGUUGUAAACCUCUUUCAGCACAGACGAAGCGCGAGUGACGGUAUGUGCAGAAGAAGGACCGGCCAACUACGUGCCAGCAGCCGCCGUAA
RNAcentral lists this ribosomal RNA (476 nucleotides) under uncultured bacterium. Its description in RNAcentral is "partial 16S ribosomal RNA". It matches the Rfam family "Bacterial small subunit ribosomal RNA", at positions 28 to 523 of the family's 1533-position model. The record is from RNAcentral.